Molecule: transfer RNA, 65 nt
Filed under: Dipodomys ordii (Ord's kangaroo rat)
Lineage: Eukaryota; Metazoa; Chordata; Mammalia; Rodentia; Heteromyidae
Rfam family: tRNA
About the family: Transfer RNA (tRNA) molecules are approximately 80 nucleotides in length. Their secondary structure includes four short double-helical elements and three loops (D, anti-codon, and T loops). Further hydrogen bonds mediate the characteristic L-shaped molecular structure. tRNAs have two regions of fundamental functional importance: the anti-codon, which is responsible for specific mRNA codon recognition, and the 3' end, to which the tRNAs corresponding amino acid is attached (by aminoacyl-tRNA synthetases). tRNAs cope with the degeneracy of the genetic code in two manners: having more than one tRNA (with a specific anti-codon) for a particular amino acid; and 'wobble' base-pairing, i.e. permitting non-standard base-pairing at the 3rd anti-codon position.
Source: Rfam by way of RNAcentral
GGUAGCUCAGUGGUAGAGUGCUUGCCUUGCAUGCAUGAGUCUCUGGGUUCAAUUCCUCAGUACCA